Molecule: long non-coding RNA, 2564 nt
Organism: Hordeum vulgare subsp. vulgare (domesticated barley)
Lineage: Eukaryota; Viridiplantae; Streptophyta; Magnoliopsida; Poales; Poaceae
Exons: 4
Source: RefSeq, a predicted model, not a curated record
UUAUUUCCCCCGAGGGGUCAAUCCGUGAGUUCUUUCGCCCCAGGGGUCAUUUUUGUCAAUUUUGCCGAGAAGCGGCAAGACGCCGCGAAAGCUGUAGCAUGAUUUGUUGCACGAUCAGGUACGUUGUGUCGGGUGAUCCGACAAGUUAUUAUUAGUUGCAUCUAUCUAUUUAUAUCUAUACCUAUAUUAAUUAAAGACUUCCUAGAAAUUACCGUGUUAAUCAGUAAUUAGGAUCCAUUUGUCUAGAAAUCAUCACAUUAAUCAAUAAUUAGGAUCCACUUAUCCAGAAAUUAUCAUGUCAAUAUGUAAUUAGGAGCUGCUUAUCUAAUGAGACCAAGUUAUUAUGGUCCAAAUUAAUCCAUAUAUUUAGAAUUAGAAAUUUAAAGCUUAAUUAAAAAUUAGGAACUGCUCUUUUGGUGGGUCUGAAUUAUUAAGGUCCAAAUUAAUCCAUAUAUUGAGAAUCCCCAUUUUAAUCAAUGAAAAGAAUAUGUCAUGUCAAAUAUAACGAUCUCUUCCCGCGAAAGAAAAUCCUAAGAGGAUCUACAAUCAGACCUUUUAAACCCUCCUCAAACGCCCGGGCAGGCCGCCCGAUCACUCAUCGGUCAUGAAAAAGCAACCUAGACGGACCCCUCAACCGGCCUGAAACGUCUGGGCUGAUCAGCACCCCUCAUAUCCAGUCUACAUAUGGGAUGGAUAUGAGGGAGCCCGGGCUUGUCUGGGCAUGCCCACCUUGCCCGCAUUGGCCCGCUCAGGCCUGCAUCCACCCUACAUAUAUUCGUCCCCAUCCGUUCGUCGGACAAAUCCCUAGCCACUUCACUUCACUCCCAUCCGCCACCCAAACUAACCAUCGGGAUGGUGGUUAGCUGAUCUCAGUGCUUCACCUCCAGAUCCGUCGACCACAAGCUCGUCCCACGUGGCCCCAAGGAGGAGAUGGCCGUCCAGGUUGCGCUCCGCCACUCUCGGGAGGUGGCCGCACGACGGCAGCGCUCGGACUUGCAACGCCGGAAAUCUAUUGCGUCCGCACAAUCGGUGUUUGGAUCCGGCAUCGCUGCCUCAUCAGUGAUGGUGCGGUCGGUUUUGCGUCUGAACACCAUGGCGGAAGCGAAACCCUCCGUUGGCGCUCCGAGCACGAAGCAUGGCCGUCCUCGAAUGAUGUAAUGGCGCGGUGUGCCCGUCGGGCGAGGCAGGGGGCACGUGAUGUGGUGGAGGCCCUCGCGGCGGUGGAUGUUGAAUAGGCGGAGUCGCACUCUCCGGCAACCAGUAGGGUGCACGAGUGUGGGCGACACAACCGCGUCGUGAUGGACGUCCACUCCUCCCAGGAAGGAUCCGUCAGCCACCUCAUGUUGACUGGCACCAUCCGGGUUACCGGCUCCGACGUGGAAGAGUAGGGCAUGGGAGACGGCGGGAGCUCGACUCACAUGAGACGGCUAUUGUCUCAUGUCCUACUCUACCUGGCCAGGGGCGCAGCCAGCCUUCGGGCAUGGACACGACGAAGCCGGGCGAGCUUCUUUAGUAUUAGGUUUACGUUGUAUGUAAUAGUAUGGAUUUGAGGUUUCUAAUUUAGAAUCUCCGGAUGUAGAAUGCAUUAUUUGAUACGUGACCGGUCAGUGUCCGUGGACGCGCUGGCUACUAAGCAUUCAUGCAUACUUAUGUUAAUUCUGCUGAGACAUACAAAUAAAUGAUGUAUCUUUGGAACCAAGCUGCUGGGUCGAUUACGUUGAAGGCUAGCCAGCUUUCAAUCGGCCGGAAAGUUGCCCACGCUAGGUUAAUAGAUUUCAUGCUGAUGCUUUGUACGGCAACAAAGUGCACCAGCACCAACAUUGGGAUGACGAGGCUUUGGGCUGCAGUUCGGUGUCGGCCAGGUGCGCGGGAGAGAUAAUACGCCAGCCCCAGUCACGGACAUGCUCUCAGUGCACUGCUAGCAGCCAUGCAUAUUCAGAAGUAGUGUUCAUCAUUACACACUAAAACCAAAUCUGUUGCUGGUGUGGCUACUUGAUUUCUCCAUCACAGCAAGAAGAGGGAGUGAACAAGUUUUCAAGUCAGAGUAGUGUUCAUCAUUACACACUAAAAUCAAAUCUGUUGCUGGUGUGGCUGCUUGAUUUCUCCAUCACAGCAAGAAGAGGGAGUGAACAAGUUUUCAAGUCAGUCUUGUAGAUACCGAUCAUCGGAGGGAAUUUGGAAUAUUUCUCUAUCACCACAUGGAGAAAUAUAAGUCAUUGCUAAUUGAAAAGGUGUAGGAAAAUUGAGUUUUCUUCUAUCUGUACCGCAUUAUCAGUCUAAGGCAAGCCGACAACGCGUCAUGGAGAAGCAAUUUUGUGGCCUUCAUUAAAUUUAAAGAAAGGUUCUUCUUUUUCUAGCUUACAAAUUUAAUCUCAUGCUGAAGGUGUGAACAGGUGUGUCCUGCUUACAAGUUUGUCUAAAGAAUAGUGGUAUCUAAUGUAUUAGCCCUCCAUAGCAAGCUUGUUUCCUUUUCGAUUUUUGUGGUUUACACGGCUAUGUCUAUGUUUGUCUCAAGGGCUGAGUGACUGAGUUUUGUGAGCAUGUGCACAUGGGUGCAGAAGGUG